UGGGGAAUAUUGCACAAUGGGCGGAAGCCUGAUGCAGCGACGCCGCGUGGGGGAUGAAGGCCUUCGGGUUGUAAACUCCUUUCGACAGGGACGAAGCUUUUGUGACGGUACCUGUAUAAGAAGCACCGGCUAACUACGUGCCAGCAGCCGCGGUAAUACGUAGGGUGCGAGCGUUGUCCGGAAUUACUGGGCGUAAAGAGCUCGUAGGUGGUUUGUCGCGUCGUCUGUGAAAUUCCGGGGCUUAACUCCGGGCGUGCAGGCGAUACGGGCUGACUUGAGUGCUGUAGGGGAGACUGGAAUUCCUGGUGUAGCGGUGAAAUGCGCAGAUAUCAGGAGGAACACCGAUGGCGAAGGCAGGUCUCUGGGCAGUAACUGACGCUGAGGAGCGAAAGCAUGGGUAGCGAACAGGAUUAGAUACCCUGGUAGUCCAUGCCGUAAACGGUGGGCGCUAGGUGUAGGGGGCUUCCACGUCUUCUGUGCCGUAGCUAACGCAUUAAGUGCCCCGCCUGGGGAGUACGGCCGCAAGGCUA
This 530-nucleotide ribosomal RNA is filed under the name uncultured bacterium. Its description in RNAcentral is "bacterial SSU rRNA". It matches the Rfam family "Bacterial small subunit ribosomal RNA", at positions 355 to 896 of the family's 1533-position model. The record is from RNAcentral.